GACGAACCGUGCGAACGUUGUUCGGAAUCACUGGGCUUAAAGGGCGUGCAGGCGGUUUGUUAAGUGCAGGGUGAAAGCUCCCGGCUCAACUGGGAGAGGUCCUUGCAUACUGGCGAACUCGAGGGAGGCAGAGGAAAGUGGAAUUCCUGGUGUAGCGGUGAAAUGCGCAGAUAUCAGGAGGAACACCAAUGGCGAAGGCAGCUCGCUGGAACGGAACUGACGCUGAGGCGCGAAAGCGUGGGGAGCGAACAGG
RNAcentral lists this ribosomal RNA (253 nucleotides) under uncultured bacterium. RNAcentral's name for it is "partial 16S ribosomal RNA". It matches the Rfam family "Bacterial small subunit ribosomal RNA", at positions 524 to 776 of the family's 1533-position model. The record is from RNAcentral.